AAGGUCUGGUCCUAGCCUUGAAGUCAAUUUUUAUUUAAUAUAUACAUGCAAGUCUCCGCACCCCUGUGAGAACGCCCUAAUCUCCCUUAUCGGGAAUAGGAGCUGGUAUCAGGCACAAUUUUUUGCCCAAAACACCUAGCCUUGCCACACCCACAAGGGUCUUCAGCAGUGAUUAAUUUUGAACAUAAGCGACAGCUUGACUCAGUUAAAUUAACUAGAGCCGGCCAAUACUCGUGUGCCAGCCGCCGCGGCUACACCAGAGGCUCAAAUUGACUUCCAUCGGCGUAAAGCGUGAUUAAAGUCCUCAACCCAUUGGAAUCUAAUUAAAACUGAGCUGUAAUAAGUUUGUAUCUAAGAAGACCAAAAACGAAAGUUAUUCCAAUUUUUUCCACUUGAAUUCACGAUAACUGAGAAACAAACUGGGAUUAGAUACCCCACUAUGCUCAGUCGCAAACUUUAAAUUACACCAACAUCGCCAGGGAACUACGAGCAAAGCUUAAAACCCAAAGGACUUGACGGUACCCCACAUCCACCUAGAGGAGCCUGUCCUACAAUCGAUAACCCCCGUUUAACCUCACCAUUUUUUGCUUUUCAGUCUGUAUACCUCCGUCGUCAGCUUACCACGUGAGCGUCAGUAAGCUCCAUGUUUUUUCAACCACACGUCAGGUCAAGGUGCAACUUAUAAAAUGGGCAGAGAUGGGCUACACUUUCUAACUUAGACCAUACGGAAAACUACUAAUGAAAUUUAGUCAGAAGGCGGAUUUAGAAGUAAAAGGGAACUAGAGAGUUCCUUUAAACCCGGUACUGGGGUGUGUACACACCGCCCGUCACCCUCCUCUAUCAUUACCAAUAAAAUUUUUAAUCCUUUUAACUUUAUAGAAGAGGUAAGUCGUAACAUGGUAAGUGUACCGGAAGGUGUACUUGGAUA
This 928-nucleotide non-coding RNA is filed under the name Anomaloglossus verbeeksnyderorum. RNAcentral's name for it is "partial 12S ribosomal RNA". It matches the Rfam family "Bacterial small subunit ribosomal RNA". Lineage: Eukaryota; Metazoa; Chordata; Amphibia; Anura; Aromobatidae. The record is from RNAcentral.